Molecule: long non-coding RNA, 845 nt
Organism: Gadus macrocephalus (Pacific cod)
Lineage: Eukaryota; Metazoa; Chordata; Actinopteri; Gadiformes; Gadidae
Exons: 3
Source: RefSeq, a predicted model, not a curated record
UCUGCAGACAUUAGUGAGGGGAGUGUACACAGCUAGCACUCCACAUGCUAUAGAUAACACUGUACAGGCAUGCUUUGAAGAGAGAUUGUUCCGCCGUUACCCACAUUUAUACAACUUGUCCGGGAGACAAUAUAAGAUAACCCAAACGGCGUUCAACUCCUGGCGUGAAAUCGUGUGAAACACUUUGGCGAGAAGAAAAUGGACCCUAUUAAUGCACAUGCACUCUUGAUUUUUAUGGGGUUUGUCAAAUAUACAUAUCGAUAUACAGUACAUGGUCUGUGUCUGGUUGAUGAAGGUUGUCUGGAUAGAUAGAGAGAUAGAUAUAGAUGGUCUGUUUCUAGUUGAAGGUAUUCCGUAUAUAGACAUAGAUGGUCUGUUUCUAGUUGAAGGUAUUCCGUAUAUAGACAUAGAUGGUCUGUGUCUGGUUGAUGAAGGUUGUCUGUAUAUAGAUAUAGCUUGUCUGUGUUUGGUUGAAGGUUGUCUGUAUAUAGAUAUAGCUGGUCUGUGUUUGGUUGAUGAAGGUUGUCUAUAUAGAUAUAGCUGGUCUGUGUUUGGUUGUUGAAGGUUGUCUGUAUAUAGAUAUAGCUGGUCGGUGUUUGGUUGAUGAAGGUCGUCUGUAUAUAGAUAUAGCUGGUCUGUGUUUGGUUGAUGAAGGUUGUCUGUAUAUAGAUGCUCUGUGUCUGGUUGAUGACGGUGGGUGUAUAUUGAUGGUCUGUGUCUGGUUGAUGACGGUUGGGUGUAUAUAGAUGGUCUGUGUCUGGUUGAUGAAGGUUGGGUCCGUAAAUAGAUCUAGAUGGUUAUACGGUCUGUGUACGGUUGAUGAAGGUUGUGUCCGGUCUCGUAUA